RNAcentral lists this long non-coding RNA (224 nucleotides) under Elaeis guineensis (African oil palm). RNAcentral's name for it is "long non-coding RNA (EGUI_LNC045761)". Lineage: Eukaryota; Viridiplantae; Streptophyta; Magnoliopsida; Arecales; Arecaceae. The record is from RNAcentral.
GUCCCCUCGUUGGCUGGCCGACCGGCGGCGCAACCGGCAUGGGACGGCCGUCGGCAGGAGAGGAGACGAUCCAGCGGCAAGAGGAGGCCAAACCAGUGGUCGGCGGUAACCACCGGCGUCGGAAUCAAAGGGAAACGGUCAAAAAAUGAAGGUUACAUCCGCAACAAAAUCCGGCGACUUUGGUCGCCGGCGAGCAUGCACAUCGGCACAGAAAGGAAGGGAGA